Long non-coding RNA from Homo sapiens (human), 2412 nucleotides. RefSeq lists it as uncharacterized. The record is from RefSeq and is a predicted model, not a curated record. Lineage: Eukaryota; Metazoa; Chordata; Mammalia; Primates; Hominidae. The transcript has 4 exons.
UGUAUGGUGUGUGUGUGUUUGGAAGAGGAGUAAAGAAGAGUGCAAUGUGGCACUUGGGGAAAGGACAGAGAUGCUGCAGGGAGAUAUUUGCUGAUAUUUUUGCUUUGAGGGCUGCAGUGUAACCCUCUCCUAUCUUCUACUUUCAAGAAAAUAAAGUUUUCAGAGAGGCUUCACGGUUGACCAAGGGUCUGUGUGAGCUGGAAGUGCAGCCUGGGGCUGUGCCAUGGCAGAGUGACACCGGAGGAGCAGGGGAGGUUUGAACAUAAGGGUUUUACAGCACCAAGAAACCUUAGCUCCAUUAUCUUACACUUGGAGGUCUCUCACGGAUAAAUCAGCUGCUUUUCAAAAUAGAAGAGACUUAUGAAAAUGUAUCACUUGGCAGACAUAGAAAGCAGCUGCUUAUCAUCAUUAAUUUUCAAUAAAUAUGUAUUAAGCAACAGGAUAUAGAUCACUCUGUGAGGUUCAGGACCUUGGGAAAAUACAGUAUCCUAGAGACAGCAUUAACACAAGGCACGACUCAAGGCCGCUCCUGUCAUCUACACCCCUCCCGCUCUGCACGGCUGACUCAGAGCCUCCUGGCCUGCGGAGGAGCAAGAGGCACUGCACAGGCCACAGCGGGUUGUGAUCCAGGAGAGGCCAUUGGUUGGGGCGGGGGGAUGUUAAUUCCUCUGAGGUUGUGGGCAGGGGAGAUUUUCUUGGAGGACAUUCAUUUCCCAGUGGGGAGGGAAGAUUGAGACUAUAAUGUCUCUAGGGAAAUUUAAUAAUUAAGGAAGGUCCACAUGAUGGAACUGUGGGCCAUUUUCUAUUUCAGGCCUUAUGGUUAUUUUGCCUUUACCAUAGGGCGGUGCUUAUCACCAGCAAGACUGACCAACAAACCAGCUGUGGAGGGAAAUUGAGAGUGGGCUCCCUGCUGAAGACAGUAGACAUGGCCAUCAAUUAAUGUCCUGUUUUCUCCCGUGCAGAGCCUCUCAGGGCCAAAGCUGGAUUGUACCGGGCUGGGAAAACAAAAAAUAAAUACAUGGGGAGAGAAUGUUGAGGGGUGACUUGCUAACCAGUCAGUUGAAUUCCAGGCACAGAUUGAGUUGCUUCUGGAGUGGGCAGGGUCACUGUGAACGCCUACGUGAGCCUCUUCUGCACCACACAGCAGAAACUUAUUGAAAUUGGCAUCUUUGGGAGCUCGCUGUCAUCUCUUCACAAAACAUCCCCACGGAAAGCCAAACUUUCCCUUAGCAAGCGUGGCAACGUCCCAGAGUGCAGCCUGGAUCCCGUCAAGGAUAUCACAUGAUACUUCCUUGUCAUGUUUCCUUAGGCUCAUCUUGACUGUCCAUUUCUCAGACCUUCCUUGAUUUUGGUGACCUUGACAAUGUUGAGGAACAGUGGUCAGAAGUCACCAUGUGCAGCCUACAUUUAAUGAGUGGAGAGUUAUGCCCCGCCUCCUGGAGGAUGAACUAUCUACAUAAAUUAUUUGAAAUUCUUUUGCAUGGAAUAUUUUCUUAAUGUUAUUGUGAAAAUAAUUUUGACCUUGCAGAACCAUGAAAGGCUGUUCGGGAAAACCCCCAGAAGUCUGUAGACCAUACUUAGAGAAACACCAUUCCAUGCAAUGGAGGCAGGGGUGGAUGUGUCUGGAACCUGGGCACUAUACUUGCGUGUACCUUGAUGCUUCCAGGAUUCCCUAGAAAUCACUGUGGAAGGAUUAUUGCAGCCACUAUUGCUUGACAAGGGCUCAGACCCCUCAGGGUUACAAGUUUAAGUCCCUCAACCAGGCAAGCAACCCAGACCCAGCAAAGUGUGUUUGAAAGGUAGGAAAAUGUAAAUUGAGGAAAAGAAAAAGGAGAUAUGAAUAUCAGUUCGGUCUUACUCAUCUGCAGUUUCAGUCACCAUACAUUAUACCAGUAACCCUCUUGGGUUAAGUCAACAGAGAUUGGGUAUGGCCAGCAUAUUUGAGUGCACUAUGUCUCAGAUUGCACUAGUUCUCCCCCUCUCCAAGGAGGAGUGAGGGCAUAUUGUUCUCAUAAUCAAUGAGAUAACAUUUUUAGAACUGGAACCAGAUAUAAUAUAGGGCAUCAGAUGAUAUGAGUGAUCUAGAUGGUGGACGCUCAGACACCACUUACACACCCAUCUCCAAUUCCAGAAACCAAGUGAUGGCAGCUUUGUGUGGGGCUAAUCAGCUUCAUCCAAGUGCAGUCUUCAUCUGAGUGCACCCUGACAGUGCCUUGUUCAGAUCUGCUCACACGUCUCUUGGCUACCAGCCUGUGACUUCUGAUAAUGCCAGGGCAUGGGAUGCCACAGGAACCCCUUGGUGCCCACAUAUACAUGACUCAGUUGUGCAGGAUAGUUAAUGCUCCACUUGAAAGCUCUUUAAACAAUGGGAGAAAGGAACCAAUAAAUAAACGUUUCCUACCCCACGCCACA